AUUGAACGCUGGCGGCAGGCUUAACACAUGCAAGUCGAACGAUGAUUAUCUAGCUUGCUAGAUAUGAUUAGUGGCGGACGGGUGAGUAACAUUUAGGAAUCUGCCUAGUAGUGGGGGAUAGCUCGGGGAAACUCGAAUUAAUACCGCAUACGACCUACGGGUGAAAGGGGGCGCAAGCUCUUGCUAUUAGAUGAGCCUAAAUCAGAUUAGCUAGUUGGUGGGGUAAAGGCCCACCAAGGCGACGAUCUGUAACUGGUCUGAGAGGAUGAUCAGUCACACCGGAACUGAGACACGGUCCGGACUCCUACGGGAGGCAGCAGUGGGGAAUAUUGGACAAUGGGGGCAACCCUGAUCCAGCCAUGCCGCGUGUGUGAAGAAGGCCUUUUGGUUGUAAAGCACUUUAAGCAGGGAGGAGAGGCUAAUGGUUAAUACCCAUUAGAUUAGACGUUACCUGCAGAAUAAGCACCGGCUAACUCUGUGCCAGCAGCCGCGGUAAUACAGAGGGUGCGAGCGUUAAUCGGAAUUACUGGGCGUAAAGCGAGUGUAGGUGGCUCAUUAAGUCACAUGUGAAAUCCCCGGGCUUAACCUGGGAACUGCAUGUGAUACUGGUGGUGCUAGAAUAUGUGAGAGGGAAGUAGAAUUCCAGGUGUAGCGGUGAAAUGCGUAGAGAUCUGGAGGAAUACCGAUGGCGAAGGCAGCUUCCUGGCAUAAUAUUGACACUGAGAUUCGAAAGCGUGGGUAGCAAACAGGAUUAGAUACCCUGGUAGUCCACGCCGUAAACGAUGUCUACUAGCCGUUGGGGUCCUUGAGACUUUAGUGGCGCAGUUAACGCGAUAAGUAGACCGCCUGGGGAGUACGGCCGCAAGGUUAAAACUCAAAUGAAUUGACGGGGGCCCGCACAAGCGGUGGAGCAUGUGGUUUAAUUCGAUGCAACGCGAAGAACCUUACCUGGUCUUGACAUAGUGAGAAUCCUGCAGAGAUGCGGGAGUGCCUUCGGGAAUUCACAUACAGGUGCUGCAUGGCUGCCGUCAGCUCGUGUCGUGAGAUGUUGGGUUAAGUCCCGCAACGAGCGCAACCCUUUUCCUUAUUUGCCAGCGGGUUAAGCCGGGAACUUUAAGGAUACUGCCAGUGACAAACUGGAGGAAGGCGGGGACGACGUCAAGUCAUCAUGGCCCUUACGACCAGGGCUACACACGUGCUACAAUGGUAGGUACAGAGGGUUGCUACACAACGAUGUGAUGCUAAUCUCAAAAAGCCUAUCGUAGUCCGGAUUGGAGUCUGCAACUCGACUCCAUGAAGUCGGAAUCGCUAGUAAUCGCAGAUCAGAAUGCUGCGGUGAAUACGUUCCCGGGCCU
RNAcentral lists this ribosomal RNA (1355 nucleotides) under uncultured bacterium. RNAcentral's name for it is "bacterial SSU rRNA". It matches the Rfam family "Bacterial small subunit ribosomal RNA", at positions 28 to 1381 of the family's 1533-position model. The record is from RNAcentral.